RNAcentral lists this ribosomal RNA (253 nucleotides) under uncultured bacterium. RNAcentral describes it as "partial 16S ribosomal RNA". It matches the Rfam family "Bacterial small subunit ribosomal RNA", at positions 524 to 776 of the family's 1533-position model. The record is from RNAcentral.
UACGAAGGGGGCUAGCGUUGCUCGGAAUUACUGGGCGUAAAGGGCGCGUAGGCGGCACUGUUAGUCAGGCGUGAAAGUCCUGGGCUCAACCUGGGAACUGCGCUUGAUACGGCAGAGCUAGAGGAUGGAAGAGGGUCGCGGAAUUCCCAGUGUAGAGGUGAAAUUCGUAGAUAUUGGGAAGAACAUCGGUGGCGAAGGCGGCGACCUGGUCCAUUACUGACGCUGAGGCGCGACAGCGUGGGGAGCAAACAGG